This 254-nucleotide ribosomal RNA is filed under the name uncultured bacterium. RNAcentral describes it as "partial 16S ribosomal RNA". It matches the Rfam family "Bacterial small subunit ribosomal RNA", at positions 524 to 776 of the family's 1533-position model. The record is from RNAcentral.
UACGGGGGGAGCAAGCGUUGUUCGGAUUUACUGGGCGUAAAGGGCGCGUAGGCGGCCAGCACAAGUCAGUUGUGAAAUCUCCGGGCUUAACUCGGAAAGGUCAACUGAUACUGUGCGGCUAGAGUGCAGAAGGGGCAACUGGAAUUCUCGGUGUAGCGGUGAAAUGCGUAGAUAUCGAGAGGAACACCUGCGGCGAAGGCGGGUUGCUGGGCUGACACUGACGCUCAUGCACGAAAGCGUGGGGAGCAAACAGG